Molecule: ribosomal RNA, 481 nt
Filed under: Selenomonas sp. oral clone 19-46
Lineage: Bacteria; Bacillati; Bacillota; Negativicutes; Selenomonadales; Selenomonadaceae
Description: bacterial SSU rRNA
Rfam family: Bacterial small subunit ribosomal RNA
Source: RNAcentral
UACAUGCAGUCGAACGCCGGACACCUAGUUGCUAGGGAGAAGGAGUGGACUGAUAGGAGCGCGUAGGCAACCUGCCCUCAGGAUGGGGACAACGGCUCGAAAGAGCCGCUAAUACCGAAUGACGUAACUUUCUCACAUGGGAGAGAUACUAAAGAUGGGUCAAACCAUCGCCCGAGGAGGGGCCUGCGUCUGAUUAGCCAGUUGGUGAGGUAACGGCUCACCAAAGCAACGAUCAGUAGCCGGUCUGAGAGGAUGAACGGCCACAAUGGGACUGAGACACGGCCCAUACUCCUACGGGAGGCAGCAGUGGGGAAUCUUCCGCAAUGGGCGCAAGCCUGACGGAGCAACGCCGCGUGAGUGAAGAAGGUCUUCGGAUCGUAAAGCUCUGUUGUCGGGGACGAAAGGGUAGACGAGGUAAUGCGUUUACUAAGACGGUACCCGACGAGGAAGCCACGGCUAACUACGUGCCAGCAGCCGCGGU